This 326-nucleotide ribosomal RNA is filed under the name uncultured eukaryote. RNAcentral describes it as "partial 18S ribosomal RNA". It matches the Rfam family "Eukaryotic small subunit ribosomal RNA", at positions 1470 to 1796 of the family's 1831-position model. The record is from RNAcentral.
CCCUUAGAUGUUCUGGGCCGCACGCGCGCUACACUGAUCGGUGCAACAAGCAUCCGUCCUUGGCCGACAGGCCCGGGCAAUCUUUGAACGCCGGUCGUGAUGGGGAUAGACCUUUGCAAUUUUUGGUCUUCAACGAGGAAUUCCUAGUAAACGCAAGUCAUCAACUUGCAUUGAUUACGUCCCUGCCCUUUGUACACACCGCCCGUCGCACCUACCGAUUGAAUGGUCCGGUGAAGCCUCGGGAUUGUGGCCAGUUCACUUUAUUGGGAGUUGGCUGCGAGAACUUGUCUAAACCUUAUCAUUUAGAGGAAGGUGAAGUCGUAACA